Molecule: long non-coding RNA, 405 nt
Filed under: Solanum lycopersicum (tomato)
Lineage: Eukaryota; Viridiplantae; Streptophyta; Magnoliopsida; Solanales; Solanaceae
Description: long non-coding RNA (SLYC_LNC000494)
Source: RNAcentral
ACAAUCAAGCAAUCAAAAUCCAAGCAUCAGAAAACGCAACCAGUUCAAACAAGGAACAGUGGCAUCACAGCAAACUCGACUGAUCAACUUUAGCUCGAAAUUCUGUCUUUCUGGUGCAAGAAGUUCCUUCCUCUGCCUUUUUAGUUCCCUGAAUGAAAAAGCAACACAAAGUGAAGCUCUUGUUAACAUUUGAAUGGUACAUUUAUGCUUAGUGUCAUUGACAUAUAUGACAAAUCUGAAAGUUAAUUGGUAUAUCACCUGUCAUCAGUUUUACUUCUUUAGGAAACAAUGCUCUAAAUUUGACUUGAAGUUGUUGUUAUCCCAUUUCAGUAGGUUCCACCAUUCUGAUGUUCCUUUCAUUAGCCUGAUCUUAUUGGAGGUUUGAAUAGAGAAAGGCAACUCCUU